This 497-nucleotide ribosomal RNA is filed under the name uncultured bacterium. Its description in RNAcentral is "partial 16S ribosomal RNA". It matches the Rfam family "Bacterial small subunit ribosomal RNA", at positions 28 to 507 of the family's 1533-position model. The record is from RNAcentral.
GAUGAACGCUGGCGGCGUGCCUAAUACAUGCAAGUCGAGCGAACAGACGAGGAGCUUGCUCCUUUGACGUUAGCGGCGGACGGGUGAGUAACACGUGGGUAACCUACCUAUAAGACUGGGAUAACUUCGGGAAACCGGAGCUAAUACCGGAUAAUAUUUCGAACCGCAUGGUUCGAUAGUGAAAGAUGGCUUUGCUAUCACUUAUAGAUGGACCUGCGCCGUAUUAGCUAGUUGGUAAGGUAACGGCUUACCAAGGCAACGAUACGUAGCCGACCUGAGAGGGUGAUCGGCCACACUGGAACUGAGACACGGUCCAGACUCCUACGGGAGGCAGCAGUAGGGAAUCUUCCGCAAUGGGCGAAAGCCUGACGGAGCAACGCCGCGUGAGUGAUGAAGGUCUUCGGAUCGUAAAACUCUGUUAUUAGGGAAGAACAAACGCGUAAGUAACUGUGCACGUCUUGACGGUACCUAAUCAGAAAGCCACGGCUAACUACGUG